GCUGGAAGCGGGACGUGCGCAUGUGCGCGGCAAGGACGGUUGAAAGUGGUUCAGGCCGCGUUUCCAAGCGGAAGUGGCGGUGUCGCUCCCAGCCCGGUGGUCUGCGGGGUGCGCUCCGCGGACUCCCACGGCCCCCUUCAUGCCUGGAGCCCAUUCUUGGUUCAUCCUGAGCUGAAUUUCUCCAUUGUGAGGAGGAGGUGGAACCUCCCUGAAGAAAAUAAAGCAACUAGGUAAGCCGACGGGGCACACAGGAUGAGUCCCUCAACCAUGGAAUAACCUCAGCGUGUUCUCCAGAACGUGACCUGGUCGUGACCUUCACAUGGCUCACGGGGCCUCUGCCUGCUGGAUCCGCUCAGUAAGACCCACUGCUCUCCUGGGAGUCCCCACAGCCUCUCAGUGACUUCAGCCUUGUCCCAC
RNAcentral lists this long non-coding RNA (417 nucleotides) under Dasypus novemcinctus (nine-banded armadillo). RNAcentral's name for it is "lncRNA (ENSDNOG00000052702.1)". The record is from RNAcentral. Lineage: Eukaryota; Metazoa; Chordata; Mammalia; Cingulata; Dasypodidae.